AUAUAUCUAAAGCUGAGUUUACUGUUUUCAAUUGUUCACUCGGAAGGAGAAAUGGCGCUUCUGCCCUUGAUUUUUUCUUCUAAUUGGAAGUUUGUCUUCGUGUCUCAUACUAUGUUGGGUGGGCAUAUCUGUCUUUCGGCAAUGGAAGGGGACGAAAGGACCUUUUUGUCCUGCCUUUUCUUCUGCAAUUUCAGGUUGUUCUUGGUGUUUGGCACGACGUCGGCUGGGCAUAUGUGUCUUUGCGGAGUUGAAGACGUCGUGGGGCUUAGAAAGACAAAAUAUAUAUAUUAACAACAAAGCUGAUCUGUACUCUUCGGGAAGCCUCCAUCCAAAUCAAGGUUCACUGUUAACUGACCUCAGAGUUGGUGAUCAAGAUCAAGAACAAGAACAGUGACAACUCGUCUCCAUCAAAGUCCAAGCAAUCAAAUAGAAAAAAGGAGGACGGGCCACUUUCAGUUUUUUUUUUUUUUCUGCAAAAGUUUUUGAUAUGCAGAAUAACUACAAAUGCAUACAUGUACCUCAAUGAUAUAAGGGUUGGAAGGGAAAAUGAAAGCACAGAAGUGACUGAGAAAAUUAUUCACUUACUUGAUCAAACUGUCUGAGAAGUCUACUGAUCCAUUUCAAACCAGCCAGCAAAAUUUUUGCUAUUUCAUGUGGGACAAAUAAAGAAGGGGAUUCAUACUUGGUGGAAUGGAAUGAAAGCGAAGGAGCUGUAAAGCGUACCUAUCAUGGUCUUGGGAAGUGGACUGUUGGGGUUGUGCAGUUUGAUACCGCCAAGAAUUGAUUCUUGGCUACUGGCAAUGAGUUCAUGGUUAAAUUCUGGGACAUGGACAAUGUUAACCUUUUGACAAGUACAGAUGCAGAUGGUGGACUGCUGGCUUCUCCUCCUAUUAGAUUUAACAAAGAAGAAAUACUGUUAGCUGUCUCAACAAAUGACAAUGGUAUUAAACUUCUAGCAAAUUCAGAUGGAAUUAGGUUACUGAGAACAGUGGAUGCUUCCAGAGCUGCUUCUGUGGCUGUUGUGAAGGUCUCAGCAGUAGGAACAUUUGGAUUGUCUAACAUUACUGUUGGAACAGGCAUUGGAGAUCGAGCAGCUCCAAUGCCAGGCAUGGUUGGACUGGUGAGUGUCAUGAUUAUCUCUCAUGGGUGACUCAAAUCCCAGAAGAAAUCCAUAUAAAUCAAUGCUAACGUAGCUACACAUGUUGCUGUCAUGAAUUUGUUAUGUGAUGGAAAUAUAAGGAAAAAGAGCAACGAUAGCAGCAGCAACACAUGCAUUAUGGAAAAGGAAACCACUAUAUUGAAGGCUGAAGAGCUCAAUAAGAAGCAUCAACAAGUUGAUCAUAUUCAAUUGAUACAUUAGAUCCCUGGCAGCAGACAAGUUCUAGAACUUUUGAAAGCUACUUCAGACCCAUCUGCCAAUGUUCUCGACAUCGUGCUUUACUUUUCAAGAUAUUAAGUUUAUAGGCGUAACGGAGAGAUUAGGUGUAUUUCAGCAAAGAUAAAAUUGCACCACCAGCGGCAAGAGGAGGACAAAGUACUAGAUGAAGAAAUUGAAGAGGAUGAGAUGUUCUGGAAUCAAGAAGCUCUUAAAGAGGAGGAAGAAGAUGAUAACUAUGAAGUGGAGCUGAAGUUGCUGAUGUGUUCUCAAAUUGUUUACUUUAAUUUCAAGUUUUCUAGCAUUUUAGAGGAAAUGUUUCCUAAGCUGGAUUGAGCGAUGCUGUGAUUUGGUGUUGAAGCAUCUUUCAGUCAUGCAGAAACAAAGAUGCUGAUGAAAAAAGUUGAUCCAUUGAUGAGAGCCAUGGAGCGGAGUCUAUGAAAAUAAAGAGAAAAGCCGUAGCUAAAGAUAAAGAAGCUGCAGCAGCCAAGGUGAAUGCUGACAAAAAGAACAGAAUUAUAAACUCAUCUAAGAGGUUGUAAUUAGUUUUCAACAGCCUCAAUACCAUUCUUUCCUUUUGUUUUCAGUUCAAUUUCGACAGUGCUUUGAACCAAGCCUGCAUUAUAUAUUAGUAACCUUCAGUGAUUUUUUGAGAAUAGCGAGCUUUGUCUUUCUUUAUUUCUCACUUCCAUCAAAAAUGAGGUCACUUUCAGAUUUUCAA
Molecule: RNA transcript, 2096 nt
Organism: Rosa rugosa (rugosa rose)
Lineage: Eukaryota; Viridiplantae; Streptophyta; Magnoliopsida; Rosales; Rosaceae
Gene name: protein TPR3-like
Exons: 12
Source: RefSeq, a predicted model, not a curated record